This 266-nucleotide ribosomal RNA is filed under the name Elseya branderhorsti (New Guinea snapping turtle). Its description in RNAcentral is "partial 12S ribosomal RNA". The record is from RNAcentral. Lineage: Eukaryota; Metazoa; Chordata; Testudines; Chelidae.
ACAAACCAAAUGUUUGAAACUCAAAGGACUUGGCGGUGCCUCAAACCCACCUAGAGGAGCCUGUUCUAUAAUCGAUAAUCCACGAUCUACCUCACCACCUCUCGCCCACAGCCUAUAUACCUCCGUCCACAGCUUACCCUACUAAGGAACAAAAGUAAGCACAAUAGUUUACACAACUAAUAAGUCAGGUCAAGGUGUAGCCAACUGAGGCGGAAGAAAUGGGCUACAUUUUCUACACUAGAAAUAUUAACGGAAAGAACCCUGAA